This 507-nucleotide ribosomal RNA is filed under the name Oodescelis emmerichi. Its description in RNAcentral is "partial 16S ribosomal RNA". The stretch from base 389 to 507 matches the Rfam family "Bacterial large subunit ribosomal RNA", at positions 2473 to 2592 of the family's 2925-position model. Lineage: Eukaryota; Metazoa; Arthropoda; Insecta; Coleoptera; Tenebrionidae. RNAcentral also lists the same sequence under 1 other name. The record is from RNAcentral.
AAAAACAUGUCUUUUUGAUUAUAAUUUAAAGUCUGACCUGCCCAAUGAUUAUUUUAAAUGGCUGCAGUAUUUUGACUGUACAAAGGUAGCAUAAUCAUUAGUUUUUUAAUUGAAAGCUGGAAUGAACGGUUUGAUGAAAAAUUAACUGUCUCUUUUUAAAUGAAUUAGAAUUUUAUUUUUAAGUGAAAAAGCUUAAAUUUUUUAUGAAGACGAGAAGACCCUAUAGAGUUUUAUAUUUUUGUAAUUUUUAAUUUUAUGGUUUUAUUUUUAAUUAUUAUUAUAAAUAUUUUGUUGGGGUGAUGGAAAAAUUUAAUUAACUUUUUUUAAUUUUUACACUAAUUAGUGAGUUUAUGAUCCUUUUUAGAUUAAAAGAUUAAAUUACCUUAGGGAUAACAGCGUAAUUUUUUUUGAAAGUUCUUAUUGAUAAAAAAGUUUGCGACCUCGAUGUUGGAUUAAAAUUUGUUUUUGGUGUAGAAGCUUUAAAACUAGGUCUGUUCGACCUUUAAA